This 87-nucleotide transfer RNA is filed under the name Soonwooa buanensis. It matches the Rfam family "tRNA". Rfam says of the family: Transfer RNA (tRNA) molecules are approximately 80 nucleotides in length. The record is from Rfam by way of RNAcentral. Lineage: Bacteria; Pseudomonadati; Bacteroidota; Flavobacteriia; Flavobacteriales; Weeksellaceae.
AGAAGGGUGUCCGAGUGGUUGAAGGAGCCAGCCUGGAAAGUUGGUAUAGGGGUAACUCUAUCGAGGGUUCGAAUCCCUUCUCUUCUG